ACGUAGGGGGCGAGCGUUAUUCGGAAUUACUGGGUGUAAAGGGUAUGUAGGCGGACCUUAAAGUCGCGUGUCAAAGUCCAGAGCUAAACACUGGGAGUGCACGCGAUACUGACGGUCUUGAGGCGUGGAGAGGUAAGCGGAAUUCCCGGUGUAGUGGUAAAAUUCGUAGAGAUCGGGAGGAAUACCAGGGGCGAAGGCGACUCACUAGACAGUUUCUGACGCUAAGAUACGAAAGCGUGUGGAGCAAACAG
Molecule: ribosomal RNA, 251 nt
Filed under: uncultured prokaryote
Description: partial 16S rRNA
Rfam family: Bacterial small subunit ribosomal RNA
Source: RNAcentral